Molecule: ribosomal RNA, 544 nt
Filed under: Lampanyctus macdonaldi (rakery beaconlamp)
Lineage: Eukaryota; Metazoa; Chordata; Actinopteri; Myctophiformes; Myctophidae
Description: partial 16S ribosomal RNA
Rfam family: Bacterial large subunit ribosomal RNA
Source: RNAcentral
GGUCCCGCCUGCCCUGUGACUAUAUGUUUAACGGCCGCGGUAUUUUGACCGUGCGAAGGUAGCGCAAUCACUUGUCUUUUAAAUGGAGACCUGUAUGAAAGGCAUCACGAGGGCUUAGCUGUCUCCCCUUUAAAGUCAAUGAAAUUGAUCUCCCCGUGCAGAAGCGGGGAUAUGCUCGUAAGACGAGAAGACCCUAUGGAGCUUAAGAUAAAAGGCGAGUCAUGUCAAACACCCCUUCAAAGGAAGUUGAACGAAAUGAUACCCGCUGGAAUGUCUUCGGUUGGGGCGACCGCGGGGAAAGACAAAACCCCCACAUGGACCAGGGCCACUAUAGCCCUAAAACCUAGACCCACAGGUCAAGUCAACAGUAAAUCUGACUACCAAAGAGCCGGCAAUGCCGAUCAACGGACCGAGUUACCCUAGGGAUAACAGCGCAAUCCCCUCCCAGAGCCCUUAUCGACGAGGGGGUUUACGACCUCGAUGUUGGAUCAGGACAUCCUAAUGGUGCAGCCGCUAUUAAGGGUUCGUUUGUUCAACGAUUAAA